CCUAAAAUUUUUUAGUUACUUCCGAAGGGUUCUCCGUAGCACCACAGUGGGCGAGAGUGUUCAUUAUUGAAAAAAGAAAGAAUUAUUGUGGGCGAGAAGUGUGCACCUAAACCCACUGAUGAUUGAUGGAUCAAGAAAUCUCCGGGGCAAGGAGUGUUCUCCAUCCAAACCCGGAUCUGUCACAGGACCGCAUAAUUUACUCCACUCUAUUUGAGUGAGUGAUCCCACGGCGCUGGAGUGCGUGCGAGGGUUGUAAUCUGCUGGUAUUUGUGUGUGCACACGACCUGUUCGACGAUUUACCCGUUUAUGAGUCGCACGCUACCAGUGCCACCCGCACAUGCCGAGCUUCUGCAUUGCUGGAGGCGCCAUGCCAGUGGCAGCUUUGCAAGAUCUUUGUUUUGCACUCACCUUAAGUUGUCUCCUUCUGUCUUGUCCAACCAGCGAAUAUGAUAAAACUCGUUUAUGCAGGUGGAUAUGUUAUGUAAGUUGGGGGCGGCCGCCGUACAUUUUACCCCGAGAACAAGGACGUCUUCACCCUGUCUACUAUGGCACUUCUGUAGUUAUGUUAAACCUUGUUUUAGUUCUCCUCCAUACCAUGAAUUAUCUGGUCCAUACAGUUAAGAGUAUUUCAUAGAGGAACUGCCGUCACCUUAUUUUAGCAUCAUUGAGCAUGGUUUAGUUCACCAAAUCGUUCAUGUGGUAUAUUACUUUUGCUAUUAUUAUUAUUUUUCAUAAUUUAUUCAAUGAUCUUCCUCACUUGCCUGAAAUGUAACUACUAUACAUGUUGACCAUAAUCAAUAAGCAUGGUUUACUGGCAGGAACCAUCAACAGGAGAUUAAUUGAAAUCACUUGAAAAUUAAUUGCAGAUUGUAGACGAAACUGAAGCUAGCAGGAUAAAACGCGAUUGUCUGUUAAAUGAAACGUGGGACCAUGGAACAUAAUGGUUAUGAUAUAACAUCCUAUAGUUCAAUACAUAAAUUUAUUAGAACUUGCUCGAAACUGUAGAGCAAACAAGUACUUGAUUGGAAAAGGCACAAUAGAAAAAUACACUGAUAAUUUGGUUCCUGGUGCAGGGAUGUAUUCCAAUGAUGGUCUUCUGUUGUCGAUGACAUGGAAGGCAGUCCGACAUCAUGAAGCAACAUUCAAAGCUUUUCGUCUGUCUCGAUAUCUGUCCCUGAGGUCGAACUAUUCUGGCGAACAUUUCUCUGCAAUCAGAUUGUUGACAAAUGUCAGGAACAAAACAUGGAAAAUAUAUUUUUUAACACACCAUAAAGGAAAAUGAGACAAGACAAGUUUCUUCACCAUGAUCUAUCAGCAAAUUUCCGUUUCAGGGAUGCAGGUUUUUGACAAUAAACAGGGCUAGUCCUGAUGCAUUCCACAUCUUUCUUCAAUAUUGGCUUGCCAAUGGUCAUAGAGGGACGGAUAUAGUCUUUACCGAUGUUGGGGCAGUUCUUGAUGAACACAGAUGGCAAGUUCUCUAAUAAAUAUGGAAGGGCUUGGGGUCCCUUCAGUUUGCCGCAAUUGGUUAUGGACAGACUGCGAAGCUUGGGAAGUAACUGGAUGUCUCUGUUGGGCAAGAACCAUUCCUCUAAAUUACAGAGGCCUUCAAACAAGAGCUCAUGCAGCUGUGGAAAUCCAGAUGGGAUGUCUUGGCCAUAUAUCUCUUCCCCGAUCCGCCGCAGAGAUCUCAUCUGCCUUAGAUGCAAGACCUUGAGGUAUGGUAGAAUGCCAAAAGGUGGAAGGUCCUUCCAUCCACUGCAAUUUGAGAGCUCGAUGCACUUCAGAUUUAGCUCCUGGGCCGGGGCCCCCUUCAGCCAGUUUGGGGGUUCCAUGCCUGUGUAGCCAUUUAUUAUGAGCUUGCUAAGAUUGCAAUGUGGCUGAAGGCCUUCCAGCACUUCGUGAGGAGCAGUCAUCAUGGACUCAGUUCUCUCCUUGCUCACAAGCUUCCAGCGUAGAUCUAAUGUUUCAAUAUACUCCUUUUUGCCUAGUUUUGCCUUCAAAGCCUCAUCCUUGCCCUCCACCAUCUCAAGUCCUUUGAUGCAAAGACUACCACGGACCUGGUUCAUAUUUUCCAGUUGACUAAUGCCGAAAUUAUCAUUAUCGCCAACCUCAAAGGUAUUAAUUUCUUGCAGGGAAGUCAACUUUCCAAUAUCAGCAAUUGUGCAUACUGCUUCCGGUUCAGUUUCGAGGAACUGCAGGCUGAUUAAUUGUUUGAAAUUCUUCGGCAUUGACAAUUUGUUGCCACAGAACCUUCUGAUCAAUGUCUGCAGCUGAUAUAACUUGCAUAUAGAUUCUGGAAGAGACGCAUUUCCAUAAUUUUCCUCAACAUGGAUCUCAAGGUAACGGAGGUGCUUCAGUUUAGGAAGAUCUGCUAGGAGAGGCUCGGAGACCAUCAGCACGCGCAGGCACUUCAUCCCUAUAAGAAGUUCUUUAAGGGUCUGAAUCAAGUCCGACUUCUGUGAGCCAGAGGAUAUCUGACCGACUACCACAAGACUGCGCAGAUUAGUAAUUCGACUCAGUCUUCCAGAGGCCCUUGCAAGAUCAUUGAUAUCAAGGUAAACAUGACGGGCCCUCUCUGGGAUAUUUAUUGGCCCAUCAUCAAAUUCGCUUCUUUUUUCGAUCCUGAAGUACUCACCAGAAGAUAAGAAUUCAGCAAGUUCAUCGAAUGGUUCAGCUCCAGGGCCAUCAAGAUAUCCGAGAGCCAUCCAUACACGGAUAAUUUCUUCUUUUCGAAAGGCAUGCCCUUUUGGGAAGAGAGAACAAGAAACGAAACAUUCCUUGAGGUCUCUUGGCAGCUGUUCAUGACUUAAUCUCAGUGUGGCCAUGAGGCCACCCUUCUCUGCUCCCAUUUGAUACAUUUUCCUUUUCGAAAUACCCCUCCAGUGGUUAGCAUUGAAGUCUGACCGUAACGCCUGACAAAAUGUCUGCUGCCUGGGGCAAGCCAUUUAGCCUUUCGGCUAUGUUUUCGCCUAUGGGUAAGAGUUCUGGAUACUCUUCUGGGUCUUUGUUAUGAAAUGCAAGUUCCUUGAACAGUUGCCAAUAAUGUUCAGACUGUAAGCCGUGAACAUGAAUUGGCCCUACUGUACUCAUUCCUUCUCCUAUGCUUGGGUCUCGAGUAGUGAGUAUGACUUUACUUCCUUCACGUGCUUGACUAAAUGGCAUAUCGAAUGCGUCCAGUAUGUUUCUUGAUAAAUCCUAAUCCCAUAUGUCAUUCAGGACUAUGAGAAAUCUCUUAUCUUUCAAAACAUCUGCCAGCAUACUCUUGAUGGUGCCCUUGUCGGGCGCAGGAUGGCGAUAAAGCAGUAAUUUUUUGGAAGCAGCAUUGGUUGCGUCAAUCAAGACCCUUGUGAUGCUGGCUCUAUGUGAUACACAGAUCCAGACCUUCACUCCAAAGCAGUCUGUUCUGCUAUCGUUGUAAGCUUCCCGGACGAGAGCUGUCUUCCCAACACCACCCAUUCCGACAACAGAAAUACGUGAGACUUUCUCAUUACCUUGUUCAGGUUUGAGUAAAAAUGCCAUGAGUUCAUCUGCUUCUUUCUGCCGACCAACCAGAUUUGGUUGUGUGUCGGACGCAGUGGUCACCCGCCAAUCAGGAGCUUGAUCAGGCACCAAUCCUUGUGUAGCAUCUUGCCCACACAAGAAGCACAAGCUACUCAUCUCUGCAGAAAUUCUGUCAAGCUUUAUGAUGACUUUGGUCAAAUCUUCAGCGUCUUUUGUGUCUUGGGGAAUGAAAUCAGAAGCAUCUUUGCUAGGAGAAAUUAAACGCUUGAGUACAGGCUCGAUCGUUACCUGGUGCUUCAACAUUGCAUACUUGAUGGAAUCAAGAACAUCUUCUGCUGUGAAAACCGCAUCUCCGAGUCUCUGGAUCCACGACUGCAAUUUGGAAUCAUCAACUUCCCUUUCCUUGGCCCGGCUGAUUGCUUCUGAAAUCUGCUCGAGUCGCCACUUGAGCUUCUCGGUGUUGGCCACAAAAUUCUUCUGGUCUUUGUACCGGUCCUUUGCAUGCUGUAUCACAGGGUCGGCGAGCUUGGAAAGGCAGACAGACACGAACCAUCCAGCCACAGCGAGCUCGACCAUCACCAUGGCAGAUCAAAAUUUCUGGAUCUCAGGGGGGUCCUGGAAGAGGAGGAUGAGACCUUCCAGGGCUUCACUGCUCAGUUGGCAGCUUAUGUUGGUUGAUCAAUGGUGUAUGCUUAACUGGCUAUGCGCUUAUCUCAAUUUCUUUAAUCCGACUGGAUGCCUUGACUGUCUGUUCCUAUUCUAUUAUCAUUAUGCUCUGAACAUAGACCCAAUCCAGGGCCGGUGGGUCUGAGCUGAUGACCAGUUAGUCAGUCAAGUUAGUUAGGAGGGGACAUGAAUAACACAGGAAUGCACUGCCACUGCCAGCUUAUCUGAACCUUCUUCCCCCAUGUGCAGAAGAUAAAAUGUCCGACUCACAUGCAUCUGUGCUGCCGUUCAUAUGCUGCAAUGUGUUGGUAGUCAACUGGGUGGUUCAGAUAUUGUAAACUACAGGAUACAUUAAUCAGCAGUGCGCCUUUCACAUGCUGUUGGUUUGGCUUGAGUUUGAGGAUGAACUGGCAUUUCAUACAUGUGCAGUCAUAUAUAGAUCUGGUGAAGUCAGUUACUCCCUCCGUCCCAUAAUGUAAGACGUUUUUUGACAGUCCUGUGUCGACUGAAAGGUUGAUGGCCCUUCCAGUUAGUUCAACAGCCUCUGUUCAGAACCAACAACCAUUGUCAUGAGAAAUUAAGUGAAGGAUCAACGUUUGUUUUGUGUGUGUGAGGCUUGCUUCCGUCCACAAGCGGCAUAUAUUUUUGUUGGGGACAACUGAAGAUUAUCGGUUCAUGGAGCAUUUUACACCGCUCCGAAGGCCAAUGUGGUUGUUAGAGCGGCGACUUCAGAGUUCAGAUCAUCCUAUCUCUAGUCUUCUACAAAUAAUGUAUGUUAUCUUAGUAGCAGGUUGCAGCAUUUACCCUAUGAUUACCAUGGAGAUCUCAUUACCAUGUGGCACACUAGAGUCCAAAUCAUUGGCUUGUACCAACCGUUAUAUUUCAGUCAAGCAGAAAAUUUACACGUA
This is a long non-coding RNA of Triticum aestivum (bread wheat), 5075 nucleotides long. RefSeq lists it as uncharacterized. The transcript is spliced from 3 exons. The record is from RefSeq and is a predicted model, not a curated record. Lineage: Eukaryota; Viridiplantae; Streptophyta; Magnoliopsida; Poales; Poaceae.